AAAGGAUUUAUUCGGUAAAAGAUGGGCCCGCAUCUGAUUAGCUAGUUGGUGAGAUAAUAGCCCAUCAAGGCAACGAUCAGUAGCCGACCUGAGAGGGUGACCGGCCACAUUGGGACUGAGACACGGCCCAAACUCCUACGGGAGGCAGCAGUGGGGAAUAUUGCACAAUGGGCGAAAGCCUGAUGCAGCAACGCCGCGUGAAGGAAGACGGUUUUCGGAUUGUAAACUUCUAUCAAUAGGGAAGAAAGAAAUGACGGUACCUAAAUAAGAAGCCCCGGCUAACUACGUGCCAGCAGCCGCGGUAAUACGUAGGGGGCAAGCGUUAUCCGGAAUUACUGGGUGUAAAGGGAGAGUAGGCGGCAAGGUAAGCGAUAUGUGAAAGCCUUAAGCUUAACUUAAGGAUUGCAUAACGAACUAUCUAGCUAGAGUACAGGAGAGGAAAGCGGAAUUCCUAGUGUAGCGGUGAAAUGCGUAGAUAUUAGGAAGAACACCAGUGGCGAAGGCGGCUUUCUGGACUGAAACUGACGCUGAGGCUCGAAAGCGUGGGGAGCGAACAGGAUUAGAUACCCUGGUAGUCCACGCUGUAAACGAUGAGUGCUAGGUGUCGGGGAGGAAUUCCCG
Molecule: ribosomal RNA, 621 nt
Filed under: uncultured bacterium
Lineage: Bacteria
Description: bacterial SSU rRNA
Rfam family: Bacterial small subunit ribosomal RNA
Source: RNAcentral